Molecule: ribosomal RNA, 468 nt
Filed under: uncultured bacterium
Lineage: Bacteria
Description: partial 16S ribosomal RNA
Rfam family: Bacterial small subunit ribosomal RNA
Source: RNAcentral
GGUGAACGCUGGCGGCGUGCUUAACACAUGCCAGUCGAACGGAGAGGCCCUGCUUUUUUGUUGUGCUCGAGUGGCGAACGGGUGAGUAACACGUGAGUAACCUGCCCUUGACUUUGUGAUAACUUCAGGAAACUGGGGCUAAUACCGGAUAGGAGCUCCUGCUGCAUGGUGUGGGUUGGAAAGUUUAGGCGGUUGGGGAUGUACUCGCGGCUGAUCAGCUUGUUGGUGGGGUAGUGGCUUACCAAGGCUUUGAUGGGUAGCCGGCCUGAGAGGGUGAGCGGGCACAUUGGGAUUGGGAUACGGCCCAGACUCAUACGGGAGGCAGCAGUGGGGGAUAUUGAACAAUGGGAGGAAGCCUAAUGCAGCAACACCGAGUGCGGGAUGACGGCAUUCGGGUUGUAAACCGCUUUCGCCUGUGACGAAGCGAGAGUGACGGUAAUGGGUAAAGAAGCACCGGCUAACUACGUG